AGCGAACGCUGGCGGCAGGCUUAACACAUGCAAGUCGAACGGAAGCACAGUAAGUGCUUGCUCUUAUGGGUGGCGAGAGGCGGACGGGUGACGUAUAUAUCGGAAUCUACUCUUUCGUGGGGGAUAACGUAGGGAAACCUACUCCAAUAUCGCAUAUCAUCUUCGGUUGAAAGCAGGGGAUCUUCUCACCUGGUGCGAUUGAACGAGCCGAUGUUGGACUAGUUAGUUGGCGGGGUAAAGGCCCACGAUGUCGACGAUCCGUAGCUGGUCUGAGAGGAUGAUCGGCCGCACUGGAGCUGAGACACGGACCAUGCUCCUGCGAGAGGCAGCAGUGGGGAAUGUUAGACAGUAGGCGCGAGCCUGGUCCAGUCGUACCGCGUGGGUGGAGGCGGCGUUCGGGUUGUGAAGCCCUUUUGUUGGGAGAGAACAGCAGCAGGUUGAUACCAAGCUGUUCUGACGGUACCCGAAGAAGAAGCACCGGCUAACUUCGUG
RNAcentral lists this ribosomal RNA (492 nucleotides) under uncultured bacterium. RNAcentral's name for it is "partial 16S ribosomal RNA". It matches the Rfam family "Bacterial small subunit ribosomal RNA", at positions 29 to 507 of the family's 1533-position model. The record is from RNAcentral.